RNAcentral lists this ribosomal RNA (405 nucleotides) under uncultured bacterium. RNAcentral's name for it is "partial 16S ribosomal RNA". It matches the Rfam family "Bacterial small subunit ribosomal RNA", at positions 356 to 753 of the family's 1533-position model. The record is from RNAcentral.
UGGGAAUUUUGGACAAUGGGCGCAAGCCUGAUCCAGCCAUGCCGCGUGCGGGAAGAAGGCCUUCGGGUUGUAAACCGCUUUUGUCAGGGAAGAAAUCUUCUGAGUUAAUACCUCGGGAGGAUGACGGUACCUGAAGAAUAAGCACCGGCUAACUACGUGCCAGCAGCCGCGGUAAUACGUAGGGUGCAAGCGUUAAUCGGAAUACUGGGCGUAAAGCGUGCGCAAGGCGGUUUUGUAAGACAGAGGUGAAAUCCCCGGGCUCAACCUGGGAACUGCCUUUGUGACUGCAAGGCUUGAGUGCGGCAGAGGGGGAUGGAAUUCCGCGUGUAGCAGUGAAAUGCGUAGAUAUGCGGAGGAACGCCGAUGGCGAAGGCAAUCCCCUGGGCCUGCACUGACGCUCAUGCA